RNAcentral lists this long non-coding RNA (208 nucleotides) under Pelobates cultripes (western spadefoot toad). Lineage: Eukaryota; Metazoa; Chordata; Amphibia; Anura; Pelobatidae. The record is from RNAcentral.
UCACUGUCAUUUAGGAGUUAAAUUACUUUGUUUCUGUUUAUGCAGCCCUAGCCACACCUCCCCUGGCUAUCAUUGAGAGAGCCUGCAUGAAAAAAAAAAAAAACUAGUUUCACUUUCAAACAGAUGUAAUUUACCUUAAAUAAUUGUAUCUCAAUCUCUAAAUUGAACUUUAAUCACAAACAGGAGGCUCUUGCAGGGUCUAGCAAGC